RNAcentral lists this ribosomal RNA (425 nucleotides) under uncultured bacterium. Its description in RNAcentral is "bacterial SSU rRNA". It matches the Rfam family "Bacterial small subunit ribosomal RNA", at positions 354 to 796 of the family's 1533-position model. The record is from RNAcentral.
GUGGGGAAUAUUGGACAAUGGGCGCAAGCCUGAUCCAGCCAUGCCGCGUGAGUGAUGAAGGCCUUAGGGUUGUAAAGCUCUUUCACCGGUGAAGAUAAUGACGGUAACCGGAGAAGAAGCCCCGGCUAACUUCGUGCCAGCAGCCGCGGUAAUACGAAGGGGGCUAGCGUUGUUCGGAAUUACUGGGCGUAAAGCGCACGUAGGCGGACAUUUAAGUCAGGGGUGAAAUCCCGGGGCUCAACCCCGGAACUGCCUUUGAUACUGGGUGUCUGGAGUAUGGAAGAGGUAAGUGGAAUUCCGAGUGUAGAGGUGAAAGUCGUAGAUAUUCGGAGGAACACCAGUGGCGAAGGCGGCUUACUGGUCCAUUACUGACGCUGAGGUGCGAAAGCGUGGGGAGCAAACAGGAUUAGAAACCCCGGUAGUCC